This 57-nucleotide transfer RNA is filed under the name Telmatherina sarasinorum. RNAcentral's name for it is "tRNA-Val". The record is from RNAcentral. Lineage: Eukaryota; Metazoa; Chordata; Actinopteri; Atheriniformes; Telmatherinidae.
CCGGAAGGUGCACUUGGACAAACUCAGGGCUUAGCUAAGCACAGAUAUAGCGUCUCC